GUAGGUGGCAAGCGUUGUCCGGAAUUAUUGGGCGUAAAGCGCGCGCAGGCGGUUCUUUAAGUCUGAUGUGAAAGCCCACGGCUCAACCGUGGAGGGUCAUUGGAAACUGGAGAACUUGAGUACAGAAGAGGAAAGCGGAAUUCCACGUGUAGCGGUGAAAUGCGAAGAGAUGUGGAGGAACACCAGUGGCGAAGGCGGCUUUCUGGUCUGUAACUGACGCUGAGGCGCGAAAGCGUGGGGGGCAAACAGGGAUUAGAUACCCUGGUAGUCCACGCCGUAAACGAUGAGUGCUAAGUGUUAGGGGGUUUCCCGCCCCUUAGUGCUGCAGCUAACGCAUUAAGCACUCCGCCUGGGGAGUACGGCCGCAAGGCUG
Molecule: ribosomal RNA, 373 nt
Filed under: uncultured organism
Description: partial 16S ribosomal RNA
Rfam family: Bacterial small subunit ribosomal RNA
Source: RNAcentral